This 632-nucleotide long non-coding RNA is filed under the name Salmo salar (Atlantic salmon). Its description in RNAcentral is "lncRNA (ENSSSAG00000110840.1)". The record is from RNAcentral. Lineage: Eukaryota; Metazoa; Chordata; Actinopteri; Salmoniformes; Salmonidae.
ACAGCAUCAGAUACCUGGGCUACACAUACUGAGACAGAGAGGUGCUGUUUCACUGUCCAGACAGCAUCAGAUACCUGGUCUACACAUACUGAGACAGAGAGGUGCUGUUUCACUGUCCAGACAGCAUCAGAGAGAUGCUGUUUCACUGUCCAGACAGCAUCAGAGAGAUGCUGUUUCACUGUCCAGACAGCAUCAGAGAGAUGCUGUUUCACUGACCAGACAGCAUCAGAUACAUGGUCUACACAUACUGAGACAGAGAGGUGCUGUUUCACUGUCCAGACAGCAUCAGAGAGAUGCUGUUUCACUGUCCAGACAGCAUCAUAUACCUGGUCUACACAUACUGAGACAGAGAGAUGCUGUUUCACUGUCCAGACAGCAUCAGAUACCUGGUCUACACAUACUGAGACAGAGAGGUGCUGUUUCACUGUCCAGACAGCAUCAGAUACCUGGUCUACACAUACUGAGACAGAGAGGUGCUGUUUCACUGUCCAGACAGCAUCAGAGAGAUGCUGUUUCACUGUCCAGACAGCAUCAGAGAGAUGCUGUUUCACUGUCCAGACAGCAUCAUAUACCUGGUAUACACAUACUGAGACAGAGAGAUGCUGUUUCACUGUCCAGACAGCAUCAGAGAG